UACGUAGGUGGCAAGCGUUGUCCGGAAUUAUUGGGCGUAAAGCGCGCGCAGGCGGUCCUUUAAGUCUGAUGUGAAAGCCCACGGCUCAACCGUGGAGGGUCAUUGGAAACUGGGGGACUUGAGUACAGAAGAGAAGAGUGGAAUUCCACGUGUAGCGGUGAAAUGCGUAGAGAUCCGGAGGAAGACCGGUGGCGAAGGCGGCCUGCUGGGCAGAUACUGACACUGAGGCGCGACAGCGUGGGGAGCAAACAGG
Molecule: ribosomal RNA, 253 nt
Filed under: uncultured bacterium
Lineage: Bacteria
Description: partial 16S ribosomal RNA
Rfam family: Bacterial small subunit ribosomal RNA
Source: RNAcentral